This 254-nucleotide ribosomal RNA is filed under the name uncultured microorganism. RNAcentral describes it as "partial small subunit ribosomal RNA". It matches the Rfam family "Bacterial small subunit ribosomal RNA", at positions 524 to 776 of the family's 1533-position model. The record is from RNAcentral.
CACGUAGGAGGCAAGCGUUAUCCGGAUUUAUUGGGCGUAAAGCGCGUGCAGGCGGUUCAGAAAGUUGGAUGUGAAAGCUCCUGGCUUAACUGGGAGAGGUCGUUCAAGACUUCUGGACUCGAGUAUGGGGAGAGGGAGGUGGAAUUCCGGGUGUAGUGGUGAAAUGCGUAGGUAUCCGGAGGAACACCAGUGGCGAAAGCGGCCUCCUGGCCCAAAACUGACGCUCAGACGCGAAAGCUAGGGGAGCAAACGGG